RNA transcript from Solanum pennellii, 1468 nucleotides. It is a transcript of the gene named universal stress protein PHOS32-like, with no coding region annotated. The record is from RefSeq and is a predicted model, not a curated record. Lineage: Eukaryota; Viridiplantae; Streptophyta; Magnoliopsida; Solanales; Solanaceae. The transcript is spliced from 4 exons.
UAUUACCAUCAAAGAGGGACGGUAGCAGUCAACAGAGAAAAAAAAAAGUCAUUUCAAUUGUAAUUUUAAAAACCCUAACCCUAGCUCCGAUCAAACAGAAUGCAGAAACAGCCACCGCACACGGCGGAUUCCGGCAUGCCAAACCUCGCGAACAUCAAAAUCAAGUGUUCAUCACCACGUUUUCCACCACCGACCACUCCUUCCGCCACCGACACUCCGACCGCCGGUGCGCAGCGGAAAAUUGGAAUCGCGGUUGAUCUUAGUGACGAAUCUGCCUUCGCCGUCAAGUGGGCUGUCCACCACUACCUCCGUCCUGGUGACGCAGUUAUCCUUCUCCACGUCCGCCCUACCUCCGUACUCUACGGUGCUGAUUGGGGUUCUGUUGAUGUAUCCAUCGCCGAUACUGAUAACAUAGAGACUCAAAAGAAGCUUGAAGAUGAUUUUGAUGCGUUUACUUCUGCUAAGUCUUCUGAUUUGGCUCAGCCACUUGUUGAGGCGCAAAUUCCGUACAAAAUUCAUAUUGUGAAGGAUCAUGAUAUGAAGGAAAGGUUAUGUCUUGAGGUUGAGAGGCUAGGAUUGAGUGCAGUUAUCAUGGGUAGUCGAGGAUUCGGGGCUACUAAGAGAGGAAAUGAUGGGAGGCUUGGAAGUGUUAGUGAUUACUGUGUUAGGCAUUGUGUUUGCCCUGUUGUGGUUGUGAGGUAUCCUGAUGAGAAGGAUGGCGGAAAUGCUGCUCGUAAGGGCGGAGUUUCUGUGGCAUCUGCCUCAAAAGAACACGAGGAGGAAGGCGAGUACCAUGAUGCUUGUGAUGGUCGUCAAGGAUCACAACCAGCCAUAGGAAAAGGCUCGAGAACUGACAAUUGACUUAGAGUUGCUUAAGAAGUCCUUUGAAGAGACGGUGAACGUAAGGGCACAUUGUGAAAUGUUGGUGGAAAACAAACAAUUCAAAAUGCCUAGGUUCAACGUUCCUGGAGAGUCGAAUGACAUAUGAAUAUGCUACACAAAAUCUAUUUUGGAUGAAUGGAAUGAUAAGCGAAGAUGUUACACAUAAAAUCAAAUUGGAUGGUUGAGAUGUCAAAAAGGUCUUUCCUUUAUCCAAGAGAUGAUUCCAGGUGCGGAAGUUGGGUUAAGCAAUCCUUUUAGGCGACUUAUGUGAAAACCACUUGGUGUUUUGUUAUAUCCGGAGUCUCAUCUUCUGUAACUGAAUUGUGGUUUCCUCUCUUUCAGUUUAGUUUACCGUAGUUCGCUAGAUGAUGUUGUAUCUCUAAAGGUUGUUGUCUUCAUAGAGUUUCACUUAAACCUGCACCUUUUUAUCACUUGUUAUCUUUCUGGUGCAAAUCCAAAAUCUACUUUAAGAUGUAAUCUCUAUGCUGCUGUUGCCCAGAACAGUUGGUUCUUGUUUCUGUUUUCGCUGUUCUGAAGGCAAUGCAUACUUUGCCUUCCGCAAGUUCUUUAUUAAGCUUUAUAUGAA